The sequence is a small nuclear RNA, 209 nucleotides long. Its record names the gene U2. It matches the Rfam family "U2 spliceosomal RNA". Rfam says of the family: U2 is a small nuclear RNA (snRNA) component of the spliceosome (involved in pre-mRNA splicing). Complementary binding between U2 snRNA (in an area lying towards the 5' end but 3' to hairpin I) and the branchpoint sequence (BPS) of the intron results the bulging out of an unpaired adenosine, on the BPS, which initiates a nucleophilic attack at the intronic 5' splice site, thus starting the first of two transesterification reactions that mediate splicing. The record is from Ensembl.
AUCGCUUCUCGGCCUUUUGGCUAAGAGCAAGCACCAGAAGAAAAAAAAGAAAAAAAUCUGUUCUUAUCAGUUUAAUAUCUGAUACGUCCCCUACCCGGGGACCAUAUAUUAAAUUGAUUUUUGGAACUGGGAGAUGGAAUAGGGGCUUGCUCUGUCCACUCCACGCAUCGACCUGGUAUUGCAGUACCUCCAGGAACGGUGCACUCCCA